UAUUGGCCGACUGAGCUAUGAUGAUCAAGACAAGGCCUUUUAUUUUUAAGGACUGAACAGACCUGUGUAUAUCUGUAGACACUGGAAGGAGCCAGUCACUGAGGGAGAGACUGAAAAUUUGUGAUGGAGGUGACUGCUACUAUUAUACCUGAGUUUGGGGAACAUAGCUUUGACCAUAUCACUCUCCUUCUCUAAAGUCUAAAGUCCUCAACCUGGAACUCAAGGCUUUCUACAAUUUGGUGUCUAUGGAAAUGAGUCUCUUAGGUCUCUGCAAUAGCUUUGGGCACUUCUGGUGUCCAGCUUCAAGAGAGAAGAUGGAUGGUUUCAACUCCACUUCAGACUCCCAAAAGGAGAACAAGAUGAGAAGAAGCCAACAGGAGAGGAGCUAGCGGUUCCUAUCAUGUCCCUGUUCUCAGCUUGUUACACUAGAGACUUUGGGGAACUUUCCCCUUUGAUUGAGUUCUGGGAUUCUCUCUGUCUUGGUUGAGCUGUUACCUUGUCUCUGAUGAGGGAGGAACUCCUUCCUUAGAUUGUAAGCUCCUUGAGGGCAAGGAUUGUCUUUUGUCUCUUUUUGUAUUUUUAACACUUAGCACAGU
This is a long non-coding RNA of Phascolarctos cinereus (koala), 596 nucleotides long. RefSeq lists it as uncharacterized. NCBI's taxonomy places the organism in Eukaryota, Metazoa, Chordata, Mammalia, Diprotodontia, Phascolarctidae. The record is from RefSeq and is a predicted model, not a curated record.